This 253-nucleotide ribosomal RNA is filed under the name uncultured bacterium. RNAcentral's name for it is "partial 16S ribosomal RNA". It matches the Rfam family "Bacterial small subunit ribosomal RNA", at positions 524 to 776 of the family's 1533-position model. The record is from RNAcentral.
UACGGAGGAUUCUAGCGUUGUCCGGAUUUAUUGGGUUUAAAGGGUGCGUAGGCGGAUUACUAAGUCAGAGGUGAAAGCCGGCAGCUUAACUGUCGAAUUGCCUUUGAAACUGGUAGUCUUGAAUACUGUUGAGGUGGGCGGAAUGUAUCAUGUAGCGGUGAAAUGCUUAGAUAUGAUACAGAACACCGAUUGCGAAGGCAGCUCACUAAGCAGUUAUUGACGCUGAGGCACGAAAGCGUGGGGAUCAAACAGG